CCUGCUUUAGAGAUUUUUGGAACUUUGAACUUAAGAAAGAUGACUUAGGGUAUCUGACAGAAGAAACUUACAAGCAGUAAAGCAUUCAAGAGGUGACUUGGGUACUGUUAAAGGCAUUCAGCUUUAUAAGGGAAGCAGAGCAUAGAAGUUUGGAAAUUUUGCAGCCUGACUAUGCAAUAGAAAAGAAAAAUCCAUUUUCUGGGGAGAAAUUCAAGCCAGCUGCAGAAAUUUGCAUAAGUAACAAGAAGCACAAUGUUAAUCCCUAAGACCAUGGGGAAAAUGUCUCCAGGCCAUGUCAGAGAUGGCCCCUCCCAUCACAGGCCCAGAGGCCCAGGAAGAAAAAGUGGUUUCAUGGGCCAGGCCCAGGGUCCCCAUACUGUGUGAAGCAUGGGGACUUGGUGCCUUGUGUCCUACCCACUCCAGCCAUGGCUGAAAGGGGCCAAUGUAGAGCUUGGGCUGUGGCUUCAGAGGGUGGAAGCCCCCCAAGUCUUGGCAGCUUCCAUGUGGUGUUGAGCCUGUGGGUACACAGAAGUCAAGAAUUGAGGUUUGGGAACCUCUGCCUAGAUUUCAGAAGAUGUAUGGAAACGCCUGGAUGCCCAAGCACAAGUUUGCAGCAGAGGCAGGGCCCUCAUGGAGAACAUCUGCUAGGGCAGUGCCAAAGGGAAAUGUGGGGUCGGAGCCCCCACACAGAGUUCCUACUGGGACACUGCCUAGUGGAGCUGUGAGAAGAGGGCCACUGUCCUCCAGACCCCAAAUGGUACAUCCAUGAAUAGCUUACACUAUGUGCCUGGAAAAGCUGCAGACACUCAAUGCUAGCCCAUGAAAGCAGCUGGGAGGGUGGUUGUAACUUACAAAGCCACAGGGGUGGAGCUGCCCAAGACGAUGGGAACCCAUCUUUUGCAUCACUCUGACCUGGAUGUGAGACCUGAAGUCAAAGGAGAUCAUUUUGGAGCUUUAAAAUUUGACUGGCCCACUGGAUUUCAGAUUUGCAUGGGCCCUUUAACCCCUUUGUUUUGGCCAAUUUCUCCCAUUUGGAACAGUUAUAUUUACCCAAUACCUAUACCCACAUUGUAUCUAGGAAGCGACUAGCUUGUUUUUUAUUUUACAGGCUCAUAGGCAGAAGGGACUUGCCUUGUCUCAGAUGAGACUUUGUACCAUGGACUUUUGGGUUAAUGCUGAAAUGAGCUAAGGCUUUGGGGGACUGUUGGGAAGGCAUGAUUGGUUUUGAAAUGUGAGGACAUGAGAUUUGGAGGGGCCAGAAGCAGAAUGAUAUGGUUUGGCUGUGACUCUACCCAAAUCUAAACUUGAAUUGCAUCUCCCAGAAUUCUCACAUGUUUUGGGAGGGACCCUGGGGGAGGUAAUCAAAUCACAGGGGCCGGUCUUUCCUGUGCUGUUCUCAUGAAAGUGAAUAAGUCUCACGAGAUCUGAUGGGUUUGUCAGGGGUUUCCCUUUUUGCUUCUUCCUCAUUUUUUCUCUUGCCGUCGCCAUGUAAGAAGUGCUUUUUGCCACCACCCAUGAUUCUGAGGCCUCCCCAGCCAUGUGGAACUGUGUAAGUCCAAUUAAACCUCUCUUUAUUCCCAGUUUCAGGUGUGUCUUUAUCAGCAGCAUGAAAACAAACUAAUACAGCAGUGCUAAGAGAAAAGUUCAUAGCCCUAAAUGCCUACAUCAAAAAGCCUGAAAGAGCACAAACAGACAAUCUAGGGUCACACCUCAAGGAACUAGAGAAACAAGAACAAACCAAAUCCAAAUCCAGCAGAAGAAAGGAAAUAACCAAGAUCAGAGCAGAACUAAAUGAAAUUUAAAUAACAACAACAAAAUACAAAAGAUAAAACAAAAACUGGUUCUUUGAAAAUAUAAAUAAAAUUGAUAGACCAUUAGCAAGAUUAACCAAGAAAAGAAGAGAAAAAUCCAAAUAAGCUCAAUUAGAAACAAAAUAGGAGGUAUUACAACCAACACCACAGAAAUACAAAAACUCAUUCAAGGCUACUAUGAACACCUUUACACACAUAAACUAGAAAACCUAGCAGAGAUGCAUAAAUUCCUGGAAAGAUACAACCCUCCUGGCUUAAAUCAGGAAGAACUAGAUAUUCUUGUUAAAGAUCGUGAACUCCAAGUUUCUUUUCAAAGAAUCACUAUGUCAGUAUGUUCAGCUCUCUUUAUUCUCCAUUUUAAAGUCUAACUUCCUGGUUCUAUUGCCCCGCUUGCCUCUAGUUUCAGUAAACAAGUUUCCUGCCAGUUCUAAUCAGUAGUUCACAUCUGUUCCCCUGGUCACCUGCUUUGUCCUGAGUCACCCCUGGUCACCUGCUCCAUCUUGAGUCACCCCUGUCACCUGCUCUGACCUGAAUCAUCCUGAGUCAACUGUUCUGUAACCACCCCUCCCGCCAAACUUCUCACCCUGUCACUCCAGCUUGUACCCCUGCUCUCUUUAAAAUAGCCAAUCGGAAUUAGCUUACACUGUGCGGUCCAAUCCUAGCCAAUAGGGGAAUGACACAACAGCAGGGACUACCUGCACCAGGAAUACGAACCGCUUCCCUCCCCUUGUUCAGGUGUGCUUUCGCCAUUACUCCAACCACGAGUCGCACCCUUCUAUAGAAGUAAAAAUUACCUGGCUGAGAAAAUUAAAUUUAUGUUCAAGUGCUAUUUCUCUGCAGCACCAAGGAACAGGCAUUUGUUUCUAACAAUCUCGUGGCCCAUAUGGGGAGCUAUUCUCCUCUAGGGGUGGCCUCUAUUCCUCUCUCACGCCCCACUGCCUUGUUGCGGUGGCCUCAAGAGUCAGGAAUCGAGACUCACCUGGUGUGACAAAUAAACCUGGACUCAGCAAUGUCGAAAGAAACCAGCCGGCGACCCAGGGGAAAGGAUCCUCACACACCACAGUGACCAGGCAACUCUGUGCACAGACCGAGGAAGGAAACGCCUGGGAGCCAGCAAAGUAUUUCCUUGGUGGUUGGGACAGACCAAGCCAUAUCCCCAACAUCUAGAAGAGGGCCUGGUACACAGGAAGUGCUCAAGAGGUAUUUGCUGGAUAAAUACUGAUUGCUGUGUGACCUGGGACACAGACAUCGCCUUCUCUGGGCUUCAGCUUUUCUUACUGGGAUAUGAGGCUCUGACCAGAAGGGAGGUUCCCAGCCUUUCUGCUAAAGACCCCUGAAGACUACCUAAGCCCCCUGAAGCUGCCGGUGUGCUGAGAUCUCAAACCACAAAGCACCACUGUACUCACAAGGGGCUCCAGCGGUACUUUCUGAAGAACACGCAGUUCCUCUGGGAGCUCCUGCCCAUUAUUCCAGAUGGUCUUGGAUUGGAAAUGUGAAAUUGCACCUUCCUACACUACUUCCAGAGGUGUCUAGGAAUCACCACUCAGGGACUGCCCCUAAUGUUCUACUGAUUUGCAUAAAAACAAAAAUGACAACAAUAAUAACUACAAUAAUAGCUAAUGUCUGAGAGAUAUCUACAGGCCAGGCAUGGAGUGUUUACAAAUAGGAUCUCAAUCCUGAGAAUAACUCCAAUAGUAGGUCUUAUUAUCUCCAUUUAAUAUUUGAGAGGCAGAGAGAGGUUAGGGCACCUCCUAAAGACACCCAGCAUGAAGCCGUGAGAGCCUGACUAUAACCUGGGGAGGCUGACCUGGGAGCCCACACACUCAGGCCGUGCCUCUGUGAUGACAGCCCUAGCCCCAGGACCCAGGUUCCUACAAGAAGUCCCACCCACUAAGGGGCCGGGCUUCAGGCCAGGGGGGGUCAGGCAGGCUCACCUGGACCUUGGGCAGGACAGCAGCGAUGGACACGCAGACACAGAAGGUGAGGUUGAGGCUGAUGAAGACCUUGCCCUCGUGGCAGCCGCUGGGCUCAGUGUAGUACAUGAACAUCAGCGCCACGGCCGCGAUCGACAGCAAGUAGAAGAGGAGAGUGAAGAAGAAGAGGCCUGGGCCAGAGGGGUAGUGAGAGGGUAGGCAGUGGGUGGGGCAGGAGGAACAGGGAUCCCUACUCCCUCGAGGGACCCUGUUGGCAGCUCUCCCCCUCUCCAGCUCUCAGUUUCCCCACUUGAAGAAUGACGUCACUGCCUUUCACCAACACCUUUGUGAGUCAUUGCCCCACCCUGAGCUAACAUGAUUCACUUGCUACCUUGUAAUAAGGGAAUUGUAACAAUAAAUACAAUGAACUCAAAACAGUCUUGCAAAAACUGAACGAGGUACAGGCUGUUGACCUGCCCUCCCUGUCUGAGAGAUACUGGCAAGUCUAGGGAGGUGUGGAAACCAAACAGCACCCAGGUGAGCCUUUCUCCUCGUUGUGUUCAGAACUGAAAGGACCAGGGACUCACCCUGCUACUGGGGUUUCAGGGACCAGGUGUCACUUGAAGUUCAGCCUGGGCACCACCAAAAGGGCGUCCCACACUACUGGCUGUGUGUGGCCCACCCUGCAGGAACCCCCAAACAAGACCCCUCCAAGGCCUCUCCAGGUCAGCUCUCCUCGGAUUCCCUGAAGUCAUCCCAGGAUCAGCUGGUGCCCCCCAUCUCCCUGGGACAAUUGGAAUCUUGACCUAAGGCAGUGGCUGCUAGGGAUGCCCCCCAGUUUUAUCUAGCUUCAAGGACCCUCGAUUUCUCAGGCAGCCCCAGCCCUGCCCAGGCUCGAGUCCCCACACGGAGGCAGGGUGGCAGCACUGACCUGCGUACCAGGCACGGGAAUCGCACUCCUCGGCCUUGCCCAGCCACCGCUGGUUCCAGGAGUGCGCAAAGUCGAUGAGCAGCACCAGCUGGAUGAGGAUGAAGAGGAAGGAGCCCACGACGCCGAAGUAGAACCAGACUGGGUGGG
Molecule: long non-coding RNA, 4802 nt
Filed under: Homo sapiens (human)
Lineage: Eukaryota; Metazoa; Chordata; Mammalia; Primates; Hominidae
Description: PREDICTED lncRNA (TCONS_00015161)
Source: RNAcentral